This is a long non-coding RNA of Mesocricetus auratus (golden hamster), 433 nucleotides long. RefSeq lists it as uncharacterized. The transcript has 2 exons. Lineage: Eukaryota; Metazoa; Chordata; Mammalia; Rodentia; Cricetidae. The record is from RefSeq and is a predicted model, not a curated record.
GGAAUGCUGAGGAUUAAAUUCCAAGCCCUUCCCUGCCGGCUGGGCCCCUAGGAAGGGAGCCAGGCACCAGUUACCAUCUGGGCUCUCGGGCGCCCCUUACUGAACGUUUUUGCCUCCUGGUUUAACACCUGCCUGGGUUCAGAGGACCCCGUCUCCUGAAGGUGUUUUGCUCCUGCCAUCCCGGCGAUGCCUUUUGGGUGAAUACCUGAACUACCAGAAAGAGAAAGUCCGGCACUAGUUCACGGCAAGAAAUUCCGCAAGGUUUCUUACACGGACUGCCCUGCUACACUCUUCACCCACGAUGCAGAUUUAUAGUGUUGAAUACAUGGGUGAAGAUGCAAAAGACUGCAAUGGUUUCUAAGGCACCAAAGAACUUCCUUCGAAUGUUAUUCCGACAUCCCAAAUAGUGCUUUGAAAACACCGUGAAUAUUGA